AUGAACUACAUUCAUGCAUACGGCUUCUGGAGUUUCUCUAACCAGGAAACCCAGCAGGAGUCACAACACAGAAAGAGGAGGAGGAGGAAGAAGAGAGAGAAACAGAAAACUAAAAACCCUGAAGGAUGGUUCUCAAAAAUUCUAAAGGAACCACAGGGAAUUCCUUUUAAGAGCAAGAGAAAGCCAGCCAGCUGAGAUGGCCGAGCCCGGAGGUGUUUGAUGAGCAGAUUGGGUCUUUAUCUCAGCACUGGAGAGCACGCAGACUUGCAGAGAGACAGUGGAGGUUUAGG
Molecule: long non-coding RNA, 290 nt
Filed under: Crocodylus porosus (Australian saltwater crocodile)
Lineage: Eukaryota; Metazoa; Chordata; Crocodylia; Crocodylidae
Description: lncRNA (ENSCPRG00005008541.1)
Source: RNAcentral